Molecule: long non-coding RNA, 239 nt
Filed under: Elaeis guineensis (African oil palm)
Lineage: Eukaryota; Viridiplantae; Streptophyta; Magnoliopsida; Arecales; Arecaceae
Description: long non-coding RNA (EGUI_LNC018719)
Source: RNAcentral
CGGACGAAGGUGCUUCUGACUGACGUCAGACAGAAGAAAAAGAUAAAAAAAAAAAUAAAAAAAAUAGAGCUCCGCUCGAAUCAAGUUGGUCAACAACCAAUAAAGGAGUUUCACCUUAGUGACAGAGUCCAAGACUGAACAAUUACGACAGCAGGUAUGACUCCUAUACUCCUCUUUCUGCUCCUCGUGUAUAGAUCCUAAUGGAGAUUGAGGAAAAUGAGUACUUUCAUCACCCCCCA